RNAcentral lists this ribosomal RNA (497 nucleotides) under uncultured bacterium. RNAcentral describes it as "partial 16S ribosomal RNA". It matches the Rfam family "Bacterial small subunit ribosomal RNA", at positions 28 to 507 of the family's 1533-position model. The record is from RNAcentral.
GAUGAUCGCUGGCGGCUUGCCUAAUACAUGCAAUUCUAGCGAAGGGACGUGAAGCUUGCUUCUCUGAUGUUAGCGGCGGACGGGCGAUUUACACGUAGAUAACCUACCUAUAAGCCUGGGAUAACAUCGGCACACCUGAUCUAAUACCUGAUAAUAUUUUCAACCUCAUGGUUCAAAAUUGCAAGACGGUCUUGCUAUCACUUAUAGAUGUAUCCGCUCUGCAUUAUGUAGUUGGUAAGGUAACGGCUUACCAAUGCAACGAUUCAUAGCCGACCUGUGAGGGUGAUCGGCAACAUCGGAACUGAGACACGGUACAGAAUGCUAAGGGAGGAAGCAGUAGGGAAUCUUCAGGAAUGGGCGAAAGUAUGACGGUGCAAACCCGCGUGAGUGAUGAAGGUCUUCGGAUCGUAAAACUCUGUUAGUAGGGAAGAACAUAUGUGUAAGUAACUGUGCACAUCUUGACGGUGCCUAAUCAGAAAGCCACGGAUAACUACGUG